GAUGCGGUUUCUGUGCGAUGAGGCCCGUGAACCCUGUCAGGUCCGGAAGGAAGCAGCAGUAAGCGGUCAACCUCAGGUGCUGCAGACCUCUCUGCAUCGACU
Molecule: signal recognition particle RNA, 102 nt
Filed under: Mageeibacillus indolicus UPII9-5
Lineage: Bacteria; Bacillati; Bacillota; Clostridia; Eubacteriales; Oscillospiraceae
Description: bacterial signal recognition particle RNA
Rfam family: Bacterial small signal recognition particle RNA (bases 7-92)
About the family: The signal recognition particle (SRP) is a universally conserved ribonucleoprotein involved in the co-translational targeting of proteins to membranes.
Source: RNAcentral